This 544-nucleotide ribosomal RNA is filed under the name Callismilax sulcipennis. Its description in RNAcentral is "SSU rRNA". It matches the Rfam family "Eukaryotic small subunit ribosomal RNA", at positions 32 to 555 of the family's 1831-position model. Lineage: Eukaryota; Metazoa; Arthropoda; Insecta; Coleoptera; Tenebrionidae. The record is from RNAcentral.
UUGUCUCAAAGAUUAAGCCAUGCAUGUCUCAGUACAAGCCGAAUUAAGGUGAAACCGCGAAAGGCUCAUUAAAUCAGUUAUGGUUCCUUAGAUCGUACCCACAUUUACUUGGAUAACUGUGGUAAUUCUAGAGCUAAUACAUGCAAACAGAGCUCCGACCGGAGACGGAAGGAGCGCUUUUAUUAGAUCAAAACCAAUCGGUGGCGAUUUCCGUCGUCAUCGUACAACUUGGUGACUCUGAAUAACUUUACGCUGAUCGCACGGUCUCGCACCGGCGACGCAUCUUUCAAAUGUCUGCCUUAUCAACUGUCGAUGGUAGGUUCUGCGCCUACCAUGGUUGUAACGGGUAACGGGGAAUCAGGGUUCGAUUCCGGAGAGGGAGCCUGAGAAACGGCUACCACAUCCAAGGAAGGCAGCAGGCGCGCAAAUUACCCACUCCCGGCACGGGGAGGUAGUGACGAAAAAUAACGAUACGGGACUCAUCCGAGGCCCCGUAAUCGGAAUGAGUACACUCUAAACCCUUUAACGAGGAUCAAUUGGAGGG